This 114-nucleotide ribosomal RNA is filed under the name Pantoea endophytica. The record is from RNAcentral. Lineage: Bacteria; Pseudomonadati; Pseudomonadota; Gammaproteobacteria; Enterobacterales; Erwiniaceae. RNAcentral also lists the same sequence under 1 other name.
UGGCGGCUUUAGCGCGGUGGUCCCACCUGACCCCAUGCCGAACUCAGAAGUGAAACGCCGUAGCGCCGAUGGUAGUGUGGGGCCUCCCCAUGCGAGAGUAGGGAACUGCCAGGC